This 223-nucleotide small nucleolar RNA is filed under the name Anneissia japonica. RNAcentral describes it as "small nucleolar RNA U3". It matches the Rfam family "Small nucleolar RNA U3". From Rfam's summary of the family: Small nucleolar RNAs (snoRNAs) are involved in the processing and modification of rRNA in the nucleolus. There are two main classes of snoRNAs: the box C/D class, and the box H/ACA class. The record is from RNAcentral. Lineage: Eukaryota; Metazoa; Echinodermata; Crinoidea; Comatulida; Comatulidae.
AAAAAUUUAAUACAAAAAAAAUUUGAUUGGAAGCUUUAUUAUUUGUUUCACGGAGAAGCAAUCAAAGUUGAUCAAAUCGCAAACCCACGAGGACGAAAGAAAGCAUUCUCUUCUGAGUGCGAAGCGGGGCUUGAGAAUUCCACCUGGAAGGACCUAGCUCAUUGAUGACCAUUCCUCCAGAACUUCGGUUUUGGAAGGAGGGAGAGAAUGCAAUCUGAGUGGA